This 73-nucleotide transfer RNA is filed under the name Ixodes scapularis (black-legged tick). RNAcentral describes it as "tRNA-Ser for anticodon GGA". It matches the Rfam family "tRNA". From Rfam's summary of the family: Transfer RNA (tRNA) molecules are approximately 80 nucleotides in length. Their secondary structure includes four short double-helical elements and three loops (D, anti-codon, and T loops). The record is from RNAcentral. Lineage: Eukaryota; Metazoa; Arthropoda; Arachnida; Ixodida; Ixodidae.
UCCUGGUUAGCUCAAUUGGUACAGCGCUCCACUGGAAACGGAGAGGUUCCUUGUUCGAUUUCAGGACCAGACG